RNAcentral lists this long non-coding RNA (2952 nucleotides) under Portunus trituberculatus (swimming crab). Its description in RNAcentral is "uncharacterized LOC123512581". The record is from RNAcentral. Lineage: Eukaryota; Metazoa; Arthropoda; Malacostraca; Decapoda; Portunidae.
AGUGAAGACUGUGGCCAUUAAUCUUCUGCCCUUCAUAGACCCUUCCUAAUGUCAAUCAAAUGAUCUAAUCGUACACAAAUAACAAGGUAAAGAUGUGUCCCAGUACUGAAGGGGUUAAGUGUAAAGAACUUGUGUUGGUGAUGAAGACAGGUUUGCGUAUAUCUAGUCAAGUGUGUAGUGUGUGUGGUAGGGAAACAUAAGGUGAAUACAGUACAUACAUUACAUCAGCUUGUUUCCCUACCACUCACUCUGACGGCCAUAUUCAGAAAUUAUAGAAACGAUAUAGUGUUUGUCAUUAAAAUAGAAGGAAGAAGCAAAGUGUGUAUUUAUGUGAGCUGUAAAGUGGAAAUAGUGAAAAUUAGAGAUGAAAUAGUGUUUGUUACUGAAAUAGGGAGGAAGAAUGAAAAAUGAGUGUUUAUAUGAGAUGUCAAGUGGAAAUAGUGAAAGUUAGAGAGAUGAAAUAGUGUUUGUCAUUAACUAAAAUAGGAAGGAAGAAUGAAAAGUGCGUGUUUAUGGGAGUUGCAAAAGCGUUCAUAUUUUUGCUGAAAGAUUUAUAUUUACACAGUUAAUUAGAUGAAAAGAAAACCCUUAUUAUGCAACAGUAUAAAAGGAAACAGAGCUUACUAAAGGCGACACAGCCAAGAUUAGUUAGUUUAGUAAGAAAAAAUAUCAUAAAAAGAAAUAAAAAAAAAAAUACGUGAAGUGGCCUCCGCACAAGAACCAUUAGAUAGUUAGGUAGGAGAAAGUGAGGAAAAAAAAAAUGUAGAUAUGAAGAUAAAGACCAAAAAUGCAUUACUAGAACGACCAAGUUAUUACGUAGCUGUGAGUGAAAGCAAGAACAGUUAUGAGAGAAGAACAAGACGAAAGAGCAAUAGAAGCAGAAGAGAGAAAGGGAAUAGUUAGUGUAGUUAGCGAAGGAGAGAAGAGGGAAUUAGAUAGUAAAGGCAGGGGAUAAAAGAUAAUACGAGAUAGGGAGGAGUGAGAAAGGAGAGGAAGAAGUAUGGCAAUCAGACAAGACAAGAUAAAGAUAAGAUAAAGAUUUGCUGCGUAGUUAGCGAAGGAGAGAAGAGUCAAUUAGAUGGUAAAGAGACAAGAUAAAAGAUAAUUCAAGAGAGUAGUAAGCAAGGGAGAUGAAAAAGAAGGCAAUCUAUUUAUUUUUCCUUUUCCAUCAUUUUAGGCCUCAAACCAAAGUUCCUCUAAAGAAAUAUUAAUACAGACGAGUGACUUCAGACGAGUAGAGAACCAGUCCUAGUUAGCAUGGCGGGGUGAGGACUGAGGGGUGAGGGUGGUGAGGGGUGAGCUUAAGUGUGUAUAAUAACCACGUGUACCUCUGCAGGUGUGUCACAGGUGUGUUGUCUCACCUGUGCUGCAUCUUAACACAAUAAAUAACUCUGCUUGUAGUAUACACCUGUAGCUUUCUCAGGUGUGUGUGUGUGUGUGUGUGUGUGUGUGUGUGUGUGUGUGUGUGUGUGUGAGGCGUUCUCAAUAUGUGUGAAAGUAUUAGUAGUAGUAAUAGUUGUAGCUGUAGUGGUGGUGAUGGUGGUGGUGUUGGUGGUGGUGUUGGUAGUACUAGCGGUGGUGAUGGUGGUAGCGGUAAUAGUGUGCUGUCACUACUUCAAUGGUGGUAGUCAUUGUAGUAGUAAUAGUGGUUGUGGUAGUGGUAGUAGUAGUGGUGGUAGUGGUGGUGGUGCUGGAGAAAAAAUAAAAAGGUCUCUCUCUCUCUCUCUCUCUCUCUCUGGCAAUAACAACAGCAACAGCAACAGUUUCGAAACCUCCAUGAGUUUCGAACCGUGACGUAUGAACCUGAAUCUUUCUACACCGCUUCUCAUUGGACCGACUAAGAGAGAGAGAGAGAGAGAGAGGGUGAGGGGUGUGGGGAUGGGGAAGGACCACCACCACCACCACCACGCCCAGCCCUUCAGUAGCCUCAGUACCUCCGUGGCUGUCACUUCGCGUGUUCCUUCGGCGGGAGCGGCGCGCCCUUGCUAGCUGUUGUCUUGGUGAGAGACCGAGGAUGAAAAAUGUGUCAGGCUGAACCACCACCACCACCUUCACCACCACCACCACCACCAGAAAGAAAGAGGAGAAGCAGAACACACGAACAAACAUGAAGGACCACCACCAUCACUACCGUAAUGAAGGAAGAGGAAGAGGAGGAGGAGGAGGAGGAAGAGUAAGAGUAAGAGGAAGAGUAAGAGGAAGAGGAGGACCGUAAAAAGACCCCCACCAGUAACAACUCCGGCACACCUGCACUUCAUACUGCUGUGUGUGUGGUGAAUUUGAUCAUUUUAAUCCCUUCAGUAGCAUGUUUUUCCAUAUUCAUUCUGGUUACUGUUUGGUGAUUCUAUACAGCUUCAGAAACUAUGUGAAGGAUUAAGAUUGUUAAGAUUCUGGCUAUUAAUCUUCUGACCUCCAUAGACUCUUCCUAAUGUCAGUAAAAUGGUCUUCUCGUAUCCAAAACUCAAGGUAAAAAUGUGUCCCAGUACUGAAAGGGUUUAGUUUGAUUUACUUAUUAAUUUAUUCUUUUCCUCUUUAGCUCCGGCACACCUGCACUUCAUACUGCUGCGUGUGUGGUGAAUUUGAUCACUUUAACCCCUUCAGUAGCAUGUUUUUCAUGUUCAUUCUGGUUACUGUUUGGUGAUUCUAUACAGCUUCAGAAACUUAUGUGGGGGGAUUAAAAUAGUGAAGACUGUGGUCAUUAAUCUUCUAACUUGCUCAUGUAAAUAAAAUCGUCUAAUCACACACCCAAAAGUCAAGGUAAAAAUGCAUCUCAGUACUGAAAAGGUUAACCACUUCAGUACUGGAACACAUUUUUAUACCAUGAGUUUAGGGUACAAUUAGGCGAUUUCAUUAACAUUAGAAAGGGUCUAUGGAGGUCAGAAGAUCAAUGGCUAGAGUUUUUACCAUUUUAAUCCCAACAUGAGUAUCUGAAGCUGUAUAAGAAGAGAAUGA